GACGAACGCUGGCGGCGUGCUUAACACAUGCCAGUCGAACGGAAAGGCCCUGCUUUUGUGGGGUGCUCGAGUGGCGAACGGGUGAGUAACACGUGAGUAACCUGCCCUUGACUUUGGGAUAACUUCAGGAAACUGGGGCUAAUACCGGAUAGGAGCUCCUGCUGCAUGGUGGGGGUUGGAAAGUUUCGGCGGUUGGGGAUGGACUCGCGGCUUAUCAGCUUGUUGGUGGGGUAGUGGCUUACCAAGGCUUUGACGGGUAGCCGGCCUGAGAGGGUGACCGGCAACAUUGGGAAUGAGAUACGGCCCAGAAUCCUACGGGAGGCAGCAGUGGGGAAUAUUGCACAAUGGGCGGAAGCCUGAUGCAGCAACGCCGCGUGCGGGAUGACGGCCUUCGGGUUGUAAACCGCUUUCGCCUGUGACGAAGCGUGAGUGACGGUAAUGGGUAAAGAAGCACCGGCUAACUACGUG
RNAcentral lists this ribosomal RNA (468 nucleotides) under uncultured bacterium. RNAcentral describes it as "partial 16S ribosomal RNA". It matches the Rfam family "Bacterial small subunit ribosomal RNA", at positions 28 to 507 of the family's 1533-position model. The record is from RNAcentral.